CUGACCUCAGGUGAUCUGCCCACCUUGGCCUCCCAAAGUGCUGGGAUUACAGGUGUGAGCCACUGCGCCCAGCCACUAAAUCUCUUCUAACCCCUAAAUCCAAAAUUCUAAUAUGACCUUCAAAGCUCUGUGUGAUCUGAUGAACUUCUGAUGUGAUACUGAAGUCCCCACUUAAAGUUUAAAAAGCUCUUCAGUCUGUUCCCACCUACCUCUCCAGCUUCAUUUCAACCUAUUCUCCCUCUUAUUCACCGUACUCUUAAUUUUCUUUUAGUUUCUAGAAAAUUCAAGACACUUCAGGGUCUUCCUAGAUGUCCUCUUUGACCUAAUGUUCCAUUACAGGUUCUUAUUACGUGUUAUGUAAACUCCAUCUCCUUGUCAUACCUCAGCCAACAUUAUUAUAUUGUGCAGUCACUCAGACUGAGAACAACAUAGCACUUCUUCAAAACUGUAAUUACUUGUUUGAAAUUAAUUAAUUUCAGGAACUUAUCAAUCAUCAUCAUCAUGCCAGCAUCUGGCACACUGUUUUCAAUGCCUAUUUGUUGAGUAGGUGAGUGACAAAUCUAGAUAACCUCUUAUUUAAGGUCUAGUUUACUUUUUAAAACUAAUGCUCCAUUUUUUAAACUAGAAAUUUGAUUAAUGGAUUUAUAUCUUCAAAAACCCAGAUUCCUUUCCUCCAGUUUUGUAGAUCAUGUGGAUGUCUGAGAUCGUGGCUAGAGUACAAAGUUAAAUUCCUGAAUUCAUUGUGUUUAGUGUUAUUAAGAGUUCUGUAAAGGGCAUCUAUAAAGGCAUACAUGAAAAGGAAGAAAUGUCACAACAGUGCCACCUGAAAAGAUUUGUGGUACUGGAGGGGCAUGUUUUUAUACUUAGUAUAGAAUUAAGCCAUUUAGAUAUCUGUGUUCUGUAUCACCUAAAAUACUAAGUUAAAAGAUGCUGAAAUAGCCUGCCUCCUUCUGGUGUAUUAGCGCUUCCCUUUCCUCUCAUUUCCUAUGGUUUUUCCUGCCCCCACAAAAAGUUUUUUCCUUUGUGAUUAGUUUUAUAUACAUUUAUAUACACAUAUAUAUACACAUACAUACACACACGUGUAAUAUUAAAUAGCUGAAGUCCUGCUCACAUCCCAAGUCUCCAAUUUUAUUGGUGUAUUUAAUUAGUUGAAAUAGUUUUAUGAUUAAAGUAGUGAUAGCUAGAAUAUGUACACUAAAAUCAGUGGAAAUGUUUGCUUGAUCCAGUAGGUCAACUUAAAUUUAGAAUUUUUUAACAUUAAAAGCUUGAGAAAUUGGCAUAUUCUGAAAGAGAUCUAAGAAAUUUGAUAGGGAUUUUAGUUAGCCAAAAUUACUAAAACUUAGAAAUGAUAGUUUACUUGAAGUCAUUCCAGAAGUAGUUUUGCCAUCAACUGAGCUUAUUGGCUUGUUGUUACUAUAAUGCUAUCAUCUGCCCCAGUUAUUCUUAAACAUUUAUUCUGCAAGCAUUUACUAUCCACAGCAUGGUGUUUGAUGCUUAGAAAAGUUGAAGGGUAUGGCAUAGUUUAGAACAUUCUUAUAACUUGGAGUGAAAAUGUGAAUGUGAGAAACAUAGUUAAAAACGUAUGAAGCAGUAUUACAGAAUCAAAUGAUGUAUGUAAUCAUCUUAAUUACUUUAAGAAUGAUGUAUGUAAAACAUUCUUAAAGUAAUUAUUGAACAAAUUCAAGGCAUCUACCAAAGUUGUAAAUGUAUUCUACACACUUAUUGAGAACUAUAUAAUGUAGAAGAUGUUGCAGGAACAAUACAGAUGAGUAGGAUUCCAUCCUGUCCUCAAUACAAAAAAUAAUAAAAUAAUAAGUUAGAGGAAUAAAGAACUUAUUGUAAGAACUUAGCAGGGAGUUUCCAGAGAAGGUUUCACGUAAGAGGUGGCAUUUGUGCUUUGACUGCAAGUACGUUUACAACUGGGCCCACAAAGCCUGAGUCUAAGAAAAGCACAAAGAGCAUGUAGGGAACACAGCAGUUGAAUUUGAAUGAAAUGCUGUAGGUUAAGAGGACCUAUAGGGAAUGAUUAGAAAAAUAGGUUGAGCUAGCUGAUAGAGGACUGAAAAAUAUUCUGAAAGUAUGAAGCUUUUGAGCAAAGGUAGUAAUAGUCCAACAUAAGAUGGGGACAAUUACCUUGCAGGAUUGCUAUGAGGUUAGAUGAGAUAAUUUACCUAAAGUACUUAGCCUAUUGCCUACCACAUAGUAAAUACUUAAAUAGUAGCUGCCAUCAUUGACUUUACCAAAGACAGGGAGACCCGUCAGGAUAUUAGGUGGGCCAGAAAAGUGGUGUGAAGACCUGAUAUUUGGCAUAAUCAGGUAUCUAGUAAUGCUAGAGAUGAGACAACCUGUUGAAAUUGAGAAGGAUAAAGAAGGUAUUUUAAGGGAAAGCUUUAUUUUUGACUGCAUAAAAUUUAGAAAUAUUUAAACAGCAAAUAAUAUCAUGAACAAAGUGUUACCUCCCCUAAAUCUAUGAAUGUAGUGCUAAACUAAUAAAAAUACUAAUAGAUUUAGUUGGAGGGUAUUAUUCUUUUUUUGUUGGGUUUGGGUGGAAUUCUCUCUAUUAAACCUAAAUUUAUUGAGGUAAAUACUGUUACUCACAUUUCUUGUAACAGCUCGUAGCAUAUAUAAAUGACCUUUAUUGAUUUAUUUAUCUCCAUGAUCAUACAAAAUUCAAUUAUGGUUUACGUAAUAGUGAACUAUUUAAUUCAGCCUAAAUACAGUACUUAAAUGGACCUGAUUCUGAGAGUCUCAUGGAAUGGUCUAAUAGUCAAGAAUUGUAUUAAAACCAUCUAGAUUUGUAAAACACCAUCUUAGGAAUUGUAAUUCUUUCGAACUUGAAUUUAAGUAAAUGUAGCAUCAACUAAGAAAAAACAAUAAAAAGAGAUUAAAUUAUUAAGUAAAGAAAACACGGUCAUGUGUCCUCCAGUAUAUAGUUAGGAGUUGGUUGCUGUAAACCUGAAUCAAACCUACUGACCCAAAUGUGUAAGCCCUUACAGUUUUAACCUCUCCCUUCCUUGCAGACAUGAUGCAUGGGAUCGCCUGCACAUGGAACAGCAGGAACCACUUGGGAAAACCUGAAAUUUAAACUGCUUUAGUCAACUUUAUCUGUUGUGAUCAUUUUCUUUUCUUAGCUCAGUGAGCUUUCUGUUAGUGUGCCAAGCUGCCAUCCAACUUUCUUGAACAUUUUUUCUCUUGGGAAAUGAUCAAGUUUUGAUAGUAGAAAGUGCUUCUUUCCAAGACUUUCUCGAGGCCAUCUUCCUGUGGGCGUCAUGCUUCUGAUGUUACACAGCUGAUGUUUUCAUAUGAGCUACAUUUUCAGACUACAAAGAUGCUUAUUCAGAUGAGAGACCAUUUCUUUGAACUAAUCAGCCCAAGUCUCUGUGUCCAUCACCUGGGAGACUGUCCGAGGAACUCUGUGAAGAAAGUCUUUUCCACAGAGAAAUGAGAGCACCCUCAAAGUCAUCAACACAGAAGACUUCUGUGACCAGAUGUGAGAAGUGUUUCUCUCCACCACCAAGCAAGCAAUCAAGUCUGCAGUGGACACCCAAUGAGUGGCCUCCAAUUCAACUCCAACACUAUCUACCUGGAGAUAGCAUCAGAUCCCACAGGUUGAGGGCUCUGUCCCCAAGGCUGGCCCCUACCACUGCCAGACACCAGCUGAUUAUAAAGGAUAUUACAGAUGAAGAGACGUAUAGGGUGAAGUAUGGAAAAAGGAGCAUGGACCCUCCAUGCCCUCCCUGGACCCACUGCCCUCCAGGAAUCUCCAGGUCUUCAGCUACCAGGAAGCUCCCCAAAUUUUGUCCUCCUGGGCAUUUUGUUUUGGUUUUGGUUUUGCUUUUUUUAGAGAGGGGGUCUUGCUAUGUUACCCAGGCUCGCCUUGAACAACUGCCUCAGUCACCCAAGCUCCCAAGUAGUUGGGAUUAUGGGUGCAUGCCAAGCACACAACUUAUCUUGGGCCUUUUAGGGAGACGUCACUGGAAAGGCAUGAUUGACCACCAUGUAGAAAUGUGAUUGGACCAAAAGGGUAGGAUCUCAUAGGAAUAGACUGAGUGGGGAAACUCAGCAAGGCCUGUCCAGAUUCUUUUUGGUCUAUCUGUGUAGCAUUCCUUCCUCCAGGGUAGGUGACAGGACCCUCUCUGGCAGAUGAAGGGAGGGCAGGAAAAGGUCAGAGAGAGAGAUUCUGUUUCCUGAGGCCUGCUUCAGAGACCUGUAGUGUCCCAAUAUUAUAACAAAAGACUGUAACAAGGGCUAUGGGAGUUACCCACCAGGAACUGUGGACGAAGACCAAUAUGUAUCUAUCAUAUGAUCACACUUACUCAUGUCAUUUCCUCUCUCAGAAGAACUUCUUUUAACAUUUCUUGCAAGGAACAUAAAGGGAUUUUCCUUCAGUCGUCACUCUGAGAACCUGGUAGAGCUCCAGAAGAGUGUGCCUAAUAAUAAGAGCAAACCCCUGCCACAUGCCAGAUGCAGUUCUAAACACUUUAUACAGAUGGACUCAUUUAAUCUUCAAAACAACGCUGAGAGGUCUCCAAAGGCCCUGUCUUGUGGAUCUGCGUCUCCAGUUAACUGUCCACUUCUUAAUGAGAAAGGAAUCUGCUGUUAGUGCCAUCUCUAAAAGAAGACAAAUAGGUCUUUAAUUAAUAUUGACACACAUGGCUCCUGCCUUCUCCUUGUUAAAGGCAUUGUCAACGGAUCACGGGUCUUUCUCAUUCCCUGAACUUCGCCUCGGAGCUUCUCUCAGCAAAAGAUGUUGCCCACUUGCCAUUUCUAGGCCAGGAGGAAGAGACUGGAAGUCUGGAGAGUCUUUCUUGUUUUGUCUCAAGGUAAGACAGCAUGACUUUCAGAUUAGUUAUUAAAUUCCCCAGAGCCUGUGUUUACUCAUCUGAAACUACGGAUCAUAACUUCACCUAAUUAUCCUCUAUGGUUCUUGGGAGGUUUAAAUGUUAUGAGGGGUAGGGAAGUGCUUCGAAAGGUUAAAAGAACAAGACACUCCCGAGAGAGUAGCAAGAGCUCCCAUAAUUCACAGAAAUUAAAGUGUCUUUGAAAGGAGAGUAUUCCAUUAAGUACUGUUUAGAACAGAGAAGAUCCCAUUUCAAAAGGACUUCCUGCUAAAUAAUUAGAAAAAGGAAAAGAAAAGAGGAAGCAAAUGGAAAAGGAACACAGAGAGAGGACGUGACUUGGAGUCAGAGGCAUUAGAGUCAAGUCUAAAUUCACCUCUUGCUAACUAUGAUGUUUGGAAUAGGGUACUAAGCCACCAUGCGUUACAUGGAGUGUACAAUAGUCACCUCUCAAGGUAAUUGGAAGUAUGAAAUGAGUUCAUGUCUGCGAGAGGGACUAGUGCAGAGCCAGGCAUAUAGGGACUUGGUGAACUCCCAGCCUCAGUGAGGGAAAGGAACCACUGCUUGAAGCCUGCCUGGUCCCACACAGUAUAGAGAAUUAGGUUUUGCUAUGUUCCCAUCCAUCCAUCAUCCAUCCAUUCUUCCAACUUCUAUGGAGCAUGACUACUUGAUGUUGAACUGGGAGGGUGUGUGCAUUGUUGUUGAACAUUUCCCUGACCUCAGAACCACCAUGAGGGAAAAGAGAGCCAUGCAUGAUGUGAUUUGAGCAGUACCCCAGGAUCCCACUUGCCCCACAAUUUUACCUUCUUUAAGCUUUUGAGUCUCUCUUUGGAGAACUUCUCUUUACCACUCUGACUCUUGUGCUCCUGAGGAGGAGGUGGGCCUCCCUGGGCAAUUAAGGGCAGCUAUGGGCUAGAAGAAUGCAUGCUACCAAGUGGAGGUGUGCAGGGCACCGUGUGCAGCACAGAGGCUGGGGAGGGAUGAUAGGAACCCCUGUCUUUGAGGAAGUUAUUACAGUGAGCCAGGAGUUCUGGAAUAUUUUGUCUCAUGCAGUGCUUUAACCUGUCCCUCUCUUUGGCACUUCUCAGCACUGGGACUAGUAAUAUAAUCAUAUUUUUGCAAAGACAUGCCUUCAUCUCUCAUCAUUUUUACUUCCCCAAUCUGGGUUCCGGGCAUUGACUCAGAGCCCUUCAAUCCAUACUCUUUCUUGCCUCCAGAAAGCUCUUGCCUACUAUUCUGUGGCCACCCUCACUGCCCUACUUGUUCCCCUGAUGAGUGAAUGCUCCUAUGAGAGCACUAACCCUCCUUCAGUGAGGUCUUUCAACCACUUGCCUUUCUUCUGCUCUGGUCUGUAAGUUAUGCCAGAGCAAAGAUUUGUCUUGGGACCUGCCAUAUCCUGAGCACCUAAAAAAGUCUGGAAUAUAGGAGGUGCUCAAAUAUGUGUCAGUUGACUAUCAGCUCUUCUUUCUGGAUGGUGAGCCCUUAGAUAAUGGGGUCAACAUCUUCUAAUAUUUUCAAGCCUCUACUAGACACCUCACAGAACAUAGCUUAUUGCUAGGUUCUUAGUAAACGCUUGAUGAACAAAAGAAUGAGUGAAUUCAUGUCUUAUAAAAUGGGCAGAUCCCUAGGGAUCCCAUUCAAGGCUACAGAUAAUGUGGGAUGAUGUGCUGAAUAUUUUCUAGAGCCCCUGCAGAUCCAUUGUCCACCCUUGCUUACCCUGUUUGGUACUCAGGAAGUUGACCUUUAUAAGAUGGUAUUGACAGGUUAUUUUGACCUCUGCUUGGGUUCAGUCAAUGGGAUGUACCAAUAGAUUAUAAGUAGGGAGAAGAGUGAAGUCUAGGUAUAGUAGAUCCUCAUCAUUUGCAGAUUCUAUAUUUGCAAAUUUGUCUACUCACUAAAAUCUAUUUGUAAUCCCCAAAUCAAUUUUCAUGGCACUUUCAUGGUCAUUCAGACACGCGCAGAGUGGUAAAAAUUUUGAGUCACUGGUUGUGCACAUCCCCAGCCGAGGCAAACAAGGUGACAUAGACUCUGCCUUCUUGUUUCAGCUCUCAUAUUGAAAAAA
Macaca mulatta (Rhesus monkey) is the source of this 6900-nucleotide long non-coding RNA. RefSeq lists it as uncharacterized. Lineage: Eukaryota; Metazoa; Chordata; Mammalia; Primates; Cercopithecidae. The record is from RefSeq and is a predicted model, not a curated record.